GGGUGUUGAUGCUGAGGCUCGGGCCUUGGGGAAAAACCAUAGUGCCUAACAUUGCGAUAGUGAAUGUCAAAGGUCUGAUCCCGUCCCAUUCUCUGAAGGUAACCCUGAACUCUUGAUUGUAAUUUGCAUAAAAGGUUGCAUUCCCAAAUCUAACAUAGAGAUCCAUGAAAGAAACGCUAGAACCAUCGGCCCAGAAGGC
This 199-nucleotide long non-coding RNA is filed under the name Solanum tuberosum (potato). Its description in RNAcentral is "long non-coding RNA (STUB_LNC000675)". The record is from RNAcentral. Lineage: Eukaryota; Viridiplantae; Streptophyta; Magnoliopsida; Solanales; Solanaceae.